This 65-nucleotide transfer RNA is filed under the name Streptopelia tranquebarica. RNAcentral's name for it is "tRNA-Ser". The record is from RNAcentral. Lineage: Eukaryota; Metazoa; Chordata; Aves; Columbiformes; Columbidae.
AAGAAAGAAGCAUAAGCGGUUUGAUGCGGUUGGCUUGAAACCAGCGUACGAGGGUUCGACUCCUU